Molecule: long non-coding RNA, 597 nt
Filed under: Marmota monax (woodchuck)
Lineage: Eukaryota; Metazoa; Chordata; Mammalia; Rodentia; Sciuridae
Source: RNAcentral
AGGGCGGGCUUCCGCAGUCUCCCGGGCUUUUCUUCCUCUGCGACUGGGCUACUCCUUCUCCAGCGCCCUAGUUCUCUGCCUCAGGGACCCAGGUGACUCUCGCUCCCUGUGAACCCCGCAAUUUCGGGUGAUGGGAUGUUCCUCAAAGGAUCCCCGGUCACCACGGAAGCCAACAAUGGUGAGUUUGUGACCAGGGCUGAAGGUACAGAGUCACCAUCAGCUUUGGGGCCAGCAGCACGGAUUAGCUCCCCGCUGGCGGGUGGCCCUGGGCCCUGUCCCCUGGUUCCCUGGGUUUGGAAGGGUGGCUCAGGUCCCUGGUGUCCCCUUUGCUCCCUACUGGUGGCCCGACCCACUCUUCCCAACGUGUAGGAAACAGGGCCACAAAUGCACCUUCCUUCUCCCAGUGGAACUCCUCAGGAGGCUGCUGUAGGUCCUCCAAAUUGCAGGCGCCUCCUGCCUUCUAAAAGCCACCUUCCCUCCACCUCACAGCUGGGCCAGACGUUCGUUCUUCCCACUCGGUUCAAAUGGACACCGUCCACUAAUUUUCAUUAGUACUUAGUGAAAUAUUGGAAAGAAUCUUCCUUCCUCCCUCCCUCC